CAGUAGCCGCGGUAAUACAGAGGGUGCGAGCGUUAAUCGGAUUUACUGGGCGUAAAGCGUGCGUAGGCGGCUACAUAAGUCGGAUGUGAAAUCCCUGAGCUUAACUUAGGAACUGCAUUUGUUACUGUAAAGCUAGAGUAUGGGAGAGGAUGAUAGAAUUCCACGUGUAGCGGUGAAAUGCGUAGAGAUCUGGAGGAAUACCGAUGGCGAAGGCAGUCAUCUGGGCUAAUACUGACGCUCAGGUACGAAAGCAUGGGGAGCAAACAGGAUUAGAUACCCCAGUAGUCCCUGUCUCUUAUAC
This 301-nucleotide ribosomal RNA is filed under the name uncultured bacterium. RNAcentral describes it as "partial 16S ribosomal RNA". It matches the Rfam family "Bacterial small subunit ribosomal RNA", at positions 509 to 807 of the family's 1533-position model. The record is from RNAcentral.